UACAGAGGUCUCAAGCGUUGUUCGGAUUCAUUGGGCGUAAAGGGUGCGUAGGCGGCGCGGUAAGUCGGGUGUGAAGUCCCAGGGCUCAACCCUGGAACUGCACUCGAUACUGCGUCGCUGGAGGACUGGAGAGGAGACUGGAAUUCACGGUGUAGCAGUGAAAUGCGUAGAUAUCGUGAGGAAGGCCAGUGGCGAAGGCGAGUCUCUGGACAGUUCCUGACGCUGAGGCACGAAGGCCAGGGGAGCAAACGGG
This 253-nucleotide ribosomal RNA is filed under the name uncultured bacterium. Its description in RNAcentral is "partial 16S ribosomal RNA". It matches the Rfam family "Bacterial small subunit ribosomal RNA", at positions 524 to 776 of the family's 1533-position model. The record is from RNAcentral.